This 214-nucleotide ribosomal RNA is filed under the name uncultured fungus. RNAcentral describes it as "partial small subunit ribosomal RNA". The stretch from base 90 to 214 matches the Rfam family "Eukaryotic small subunit ribosomal RNA", at positions 737 to 864 of the family's 1831-position model. The record is from RNAcentral. Lineage: Eukaryota; Fungi.
GGCCCGGUUGGAUGGUCUGCUCUAGGGCUUGUACUGUCCUGACUGGGUCUUACCUUCUGGUGAGCUGUCGUGUUGUUUUGCAGCGCGGCAGGGAACCAGGACUUUUACUUUGAAAAAAUUAGAGUGUUUAAAGCAGGCAUUCGCUUGAAUACAUUAGCAUGGAAUAAUAAAAUAGGACUUUGGUUCUAUUUUGUUGGUUUCUAGGAUUGACGUA